RNA transcript from Cucumis sativus (cucumber), 801 nucleotides. It is a transcript of the gene named biogenesis of lysosome-related organelles complex 1 subunit 2, with no coding region annotated. The transcript has 2 exons. The record is from RefSeq and is a predicted model, not a curated record. NCBI's taxonomy places the organism in Eukaryota, Viridiplantae, Streptophyta, Magnoliopsida, Cucurbitales, Cucurbitaceae.
GCAAUUUUCCUUUAAAUUAGGCAUGAAAAGCUAAUUUUCCCUAUUUUAUAAUUUAGACCAUUCAAAAUAUAUAAUCCCAAGUACACUUUUCAAAUUAACGACAUCUACUUGACUGUUGCUCUAACUCGUCGUCCAAGGUUCAGCAGCUGUUCUGUAUCCCAACGAGCCGACGGCGAUUGAUCACAAUUCAACCAACAAAGACACAAGUUUCACGGCCUGUGAAACCCUAUUUGCAAGACUUACGGUUUACAUCUUGUUUCAUGGCCCAGAAAGAGGAGCGAUUACCGAACAGAGACGACCUCGCCGAGUCGCUUAAUGAAUUCUUCACCAGCGUGUCGGAAAUGAUCAAAUCGGACCUUCUUGUGUGGAUCAAGCAAUCAGCUGGAACUUUUAGAGAGAAUGAACUUGAGGGUGGCUGAAGAGUACAAAGGUUUUGGGGAUGUGGCUUCUGGAAUGAGGGUUUUUGUGGAGCAGUUGAAGUCAAAGAGUGGUGGGUUUGACGAGUAUAUAAACCAAAUUGAGAAGAUAGAGCAUCAGGUGACCGAAUUUGAAGCUGUAAUUUCAAUGCUUGAUAAGCAUGUUUCCAUGUUGGAGUCUAAAGUGUUGUCUGUUUGUCAAAACACGCCUUAAUGAAGAGAUGAAUUUUUUUCAUCUACAAAUCUCAGAUCGCUUCUUUUAUGAUAUCUUAUUCAUUGGAAGUUGGCGGCGCAAAAAAGUUAGCAUCUUCUUCCUUUCCUGCUAGGUUUGUAGUGUUCUUUUAUGGUUAUGGGAAAUAGCACUCUUAGAAAUCGUUCUUGGUGA